UACUGCUCUUGUCAUCUUUUGGACAAUAUUAAUGUUAUGCUCAUUCUUCUUAUCCUCCAAUUGAAUAGGAAAUUCCUCUGUUGCCUUUUGAAUCUCAUCUUUUGAAACUUUAUGGGAUACUAUAUCAUGUAACUUAACAUUUGGGGAUGUCUUCUCUUUUUCCACUGAUUGCAUCUUGAUUCUUGCAUCUACAGGUGAUUUGUCACUAAGCUUGGCCCUGGUACUGCCAGAACCCUCAACUUGUGGAGUUAAGUUUGUACAUUUGUCUACAACCAUCUAAUCUGCUGCCUUUGACUACAACACUCCAUCUUCAGAAGCACUUUGCACAUCUGCGGGUUUAUCUGGAGGUUUAAACAAAGAUGCAUACUGGAUUUUGUUAGAAUAUGGUUCUAAAGGCUCUCCUAUCUGCUGCUGUGUAGAGAUCAAUUGCUGGUCAACCCCUCCGAUGGGCUGAUCAACGGCCGUCAUGACCAUGGUUGAAGGGUUGUAACCAAUUCAAUUCUUCUUCUUUUCUCCAAUUAUUUUAGUAAAAACCUCAAA
Molecule: long non-coding RNA, 540 nt
Organism: Lycium ferocissimum
Lineage: Eukaryota; Viridiplantae; Streptophyta; Magnoliopsida; Solanales; Solanaceae
Exons: 2
Source: RefSeq, a predicted model, not a curated record